CAUGCAGGCGGUUAUGCAAGCAGGAUGUGAAACCCCCGGGCUUAACCUGGGAACUGCAUUCUGAACUACAUGACUAGAGUAUUGCAGGGGGAGACGGAAUUCCAGGUGUAGCGGUGGAAUGCGUAGAUAUCUGGAAGAACACCAAAGGCGAAGGCAGUCUCCUGGGCAAAUACUGACGCUCAUAUGCGAAAGCGUGGGUAGCAAACA
This 207-nucleotide ribosomal RNA is filed under the name uncultured bacterium. RNAcentral's name for it is "partial 16S ribosomal RNA". It matches the Rfam family "Bacterial small subunit ribosomal RNA", at positions 568 to 774 of the family's 1533-position model. The record is from RNAcentral.